GAUGAACGCUGGCGGCGUGCCUAAUACAUGCCAGUCGAGCGAACAGACGAGGAGCUUGCUCCUCUGACGUUAGCGGCGGACGGGUGAGUAACACGUGGAUAACCUACCUAUAAGACUGGGAUAACUUCGGGAAACCGGAGCUAAUACCGGAUAAUAUAUUGAACCGCAUGGUUCAAUAGUGAAAGACGGUUUUGCUGUCACUUAUAGAUGGAUCCGCGCCGCAUUAGCUAGUUGGUAGGGUAACGGCUUACCAAGGCAACGAUGCGUAGCCGACCUGAGAGGGUGAUCGGCCACACUGGAACUGAGACACGGUCCAGACUCCUACGGGAGGCAGCAGUGGGGAAUCUUGCGCAAUGGGCGAAAGCCUGACGGAGCAACGCCGCGUGAGUGAUGAAGGUCUUCGGAUCGUAAAACUCUGUUAGUAGGGAAGAACAAAUGUGUAAGUAACUAUGCACGUCUUGACGGUACCUAAUCAGAAAGCCACGGCUAACUACGUG
RNAcentral lists this ribosomal RNA (497 nucleotides) under uncultured bacterium. Its description in RNAcentral is "partial 16S ribosomal RNA". It matches the Rfam family "Bacterial small subunit ribosomal RNA", at positions 28 to 507 of the family's 1533-position model. The record is from RNAcentral.